This is a long non-coding RNA of Sinocyclocheilus rhinocerous, 2078 nucleotides long. RefSeq lists it as uncharacterized. The record is from RefSeq and is a predicted model, not a curated record. The transcript has 2 exons. Lineage: Eukaryota; Metazoa; Chordata; Actinopteri; Cypriniformes; Cyprinidae.
AUGCUUCAAUAGUUUUUUUUUUUUUUUAAUUAUGGGGGGUUUUCUUUUUUCUAUUUUUUCCCAUCCUCUUGCAUGGUGGGCCAAAUCAAAGGUCAUCACGGGCCAAAUUUCUGCUCCAUGUAAAUCUUCCCUUGUUGCUUUUUUGUCAUUUUGGAGCUCAACUGACGCAGUCCCCUUUCAUUAUAUAAAAGGAGUGCCCAGUUCUUCUGAAAGAAGAUGUUCCUGCAGAAUUUAGCUCCAUCACACCUGCCUAGAUGUUUUUAAUGACCCUAAACACUUUAAUUAGCUCGUUCAGGUGUAUUUAAUUAAGCUUGCAGCAAAACUGUCCUCAUGAGAAGGAUUGGACAGAAUAUAAUUCAAAAAGUGAAGAACACAAGAAAAUAGGAACAUCAUGAGGCCUCAACAUUUUGCCAUGCUGAGAUUUCAUCAUUUGCCAGAUUUGUUUCAUGUGUAUAAAUGAGUGCAGUUUGCUGUGGAUGUGAUGACAGCCGUAAAAUACUGCUGUAAUGAAUCUACUAAUAUGAGACUUUUGAAAGCUAGUGUGUUCAGUGUUCCCACCACAUUCCUCUUGAGGUGGUGUGGCGUGUUUUCAGUUCAUGUAUGUUCUGUUUUUGGCGUGGAUUGCAAUUUCUGUUGAUGAUUAUCUCUGAGUUUCAGAAUGUCCACUCAUUGUUUAGUUUCUCUGAGGUUUUGGCACAUAUUAUUUGUCAGCUUGUCAUGUUUUUCUGUGUCGGCUGGUUUGAGUUCUGUGUGGUCUCAACCAAAAAUGAAAGCUCUGUCAUUAUUUAUUUACUUGAGGGUGAGUAAAUGUUGACAGUAAUUUACAUUUUUGGCCAACUGUCCCUUUAACGUGUGUUUCCAGACUAUAAACAUUUGAUUCACUUAUUCAAGCGUUGCUUUCUGUAUUUAAACUAAUGCAGUGUGUCAGGACAUUUUUAUAGGAAGUUUUUUUUUUUACUGUCUGGUCAUGCAUGAUAUUUUGAGAUUGGUGACAUGAAUGUUUAUGACCAUUUUUACACAAUUUAAACAUGUAAUGCAUUAUUUUAGAUAUUUUACAGUGGGAAGUAUGUUCAAAUUGAAAAUGUCUUUAUAAGCAUUGUAAGAAAAUAAGGUCAUUAGAGCACAAUGAGUAUUGGCAUUAUUUCUUUAAAAGACGUGGUAAAGCAGAAACGCUGCACUGGUUAUGGCAUCAUUUUAUUGAGUGAUAUACAUCCAUAAACUACCAUGCAAUUAUGAGUGUCCAAAAAUAAUAAUUUGGAUUAAUAAAUACUGCAGAGUAAGUAUAGCUGAAAUGUACACACAGCAUCAUAUUGCAUUUAUACCCGGCCAACACUUAACAUUCCCAGUUGUUUACUUUUGGUCUCUGUCUCUAGAUAUGAUUAUUUGUACUUUUUCAAAUUACUUUUAAGGUUUUUUUUUUAAUGCUUUGUGUGACCUAUAUUGCAUUUGCAACAAGAGUUUGCAAUCAUUUGCAUUUGUUUGCUGUAUCAAAAGCAAUAGCUACAUACUGGGACCGUUUUUUCCCCAUACUUGACUAGAAUAUUAAAUAUUUUAUUGCAUACACGGGGGCUAUGCUAGAGCCCAGAAUAUCACAGGGACUUUGGUCAGUAUGCAAACACCUAGUAACUGCAUUUCAAUUCAAUUCAUGUUUAUUUGUAUAGCACUUUUCACGAAACGCAUUAUUGCAAAGCAGCUUCACAGAAAAUAAAACUUUCUACAUUACAAUUAGAAGUAGAUUAUCAGUGGUGACAAGGUGAUGUCCAUAUGGCAGAAAUGUACAGUUCUAGGACAGUAGAAAUCAUGCGCCCAUAUCUUUUAAUAAUAUUACCAAGGGGCAGCAUAUAUAUUGAAAAUAGCAGAGGGCCUAAGACAGAUCCUUGUGGCACUCCACACUUUACUGGCGUUAAAUGAGAUGAUUCCCCGUUUAAAUAAACGGUGGUAAUGGUCUGAUAGGGUAGGAUCUAUCUUAAAGCCUGUCCCUGAACACCCAUGUAGUCUUGUAAUCGAUCUAUGAGUAUGUCAUGAUCUAGUGUCGAAUGCAGCACUAAGGUCAAGUAAAAGUAGUACUGAGAUGCAGU